RNAcentral lists this ribosomal RNA (503 nucleotides) under uncultured bacterium. RNAcentral describes it as "bacterial SSU rRNA". It matches the Rfam family "Bacterial small subunit ribosomal RNA", at positions 43 to 518 of the family's 1533-position model. The record is from RNAcentral.
CGUGCCUAAUACAUGCAAGUCGAACGGUCUUUCUAUGGAAGCUUGCUUCCACUGAGAAGAUAAGUGGCGAACGGGUGAGUAACACGUGGGUAACCUGCCCAUAAGAGGGGGAUAACAUCCGGAAACGGGUGCUAAUACCGCAUAGUUUUCUUGAUCGCAUGAUCGGGAAAGGAAAGACGGCCUUUGUGCUGUCGCUUAUGGAUGGACCCGCGGCGUAUUAGUUAGUUGGUGAGGUAACGGCUCACCAAGACGAUGAUACGUAGCCGACCUGAGAGGGUGAUCGGCCACAUUGGGACUGAGACACGGCCCAAACUCCUACGGGAGGCAGCAGUAGGGAAUCUUCCGCAAUGGACGAAAGUCUGACGGAGCAACGCCGCGUGAGUGAAAGAAGGUUUUCGGAUCGUAAAACUCUGUUGUCAGAGAAGAACAAGUUGGAGAGUAACUGCUCCAGCCUUGACGGUAUCUGACCAGAAAGCCACGGCUAACUACGUGCCAGCCGCCGC